AGCUUUGCUCCGUGGCAGUAUAGUAGCCAAUGAGGUUUAUCCAAGGUGCAAUUGUUGCUCAUUGAAAACUUUUCCCAACACCCCGCCAUGGUGACUUGACUAGAGUUGAUGUUGGCAAAUUUUGACAGUCUCUAUGGAAA
This 140-nucleotide small nuclear RNA is filed under the name Carlito syrichta (Philippine tarsier). RNAcentral describes it as "U4 spliceosomal RNA (ENSTSYG00000022219.2)". It matches the Rfam family "U4 spliceosomal RNA". Rfam says of the family: U4 small nuclear RNA (U4 snRNA) is a component of the major U2-dependent spliceosome. The structure of U4 snRNA from yeast and human has been reported. The record is from Rfam by way of RNAcentral. Lineage: Eukaryota; Metazoa; Chordata; Mammalia; Primates; Tarsiidae.